Molecule: long non-coding RNA, 248 nt
Filed under: Homo sapiens (human)
Lineage: Eukaryota; Metazoa; Chordata; Mammalia; Primates; Hominidae
Description: non-protein coding lnc-NPIPA7-13:1
Source: RNAcentral
CUCACCGCUAGUGUGCUCCCGGGGCUGCUGCGGCAGGCCGAUCCCCAGCACGUCAUCGAGUACUCGCUGGCCCUGGUCACUGUGCUGAACGAGUACGAGCGGGCCCUGGACGUGGCGGCAGAGCCCAAGCACGAGCGGCAGCGCCGAGCCCAGAUACGCAAGAACAUCACGGAGACUCUGGUGUCCCUGAGGGUCCACACUGUGGAUGACAUCCAGCAGAUCGCUGCUGCGCUGGCCCAGUGCAUGGU